RNAcentral lists this long non-coding RNA (243 nucleotides) under Lathyrus oleraceus (garden pea). Its description in RNAcentral is "Pisum sativum (pea) long non-coding RNA (PSAT_LNC006991)". The record is from RNAcentral. Lineage: Eukaryota; Viridiplantae; Streptophyta; Magnoliopsida; Fabales; Fabaceae.
AUCCGCUUCUACCGAGAAAAAAAAAGAGAAAAAAGAAAUGAAAAAGAAAAAAAAGGUAUCUAUAUAGAGAAAUGAAAAAAUAAUCACUUGCCUUAGAAAUAUACUCAUGCAUUAAUAUGAAUUUGAGUGGAAAAAGAGUCAAGAUUGAACGACACCCCAAAAAUAAAAUUCUUGCACAAAGAAAAACAACAACAUGAAUGCCGAGUGGUAAAACCUUUUGUAAUCCAUUUUGUUGUCUACUCU